UACGGGGGGGGCAAGCGUUGUUCGGAAUUACUGGGCGUAAAGGGCGCGUAGGCGGCUCGCUAAGUCGGAUGUGAAAACUCUGGGCUCAACCCAGAGCCUGCAUUCGAAACUGACGAGCUCGAGUACUGGAGGGGAAAGCGGAAUUCCUGGUGUAGCGGUGGAAUGCGCAGAUAUCAGGAGGAACACCAAUAGCGAAGGCAGCUCGCUGGGACGGUACUGACGCUAAGGCGCGAAAGCGUGGGGAGCGAACAGG
Molecule: ribosomal RNA, 253 nt
Filed under: uncultured bacterium
Lineage: Bacteria
Description: partial 16S ribosomal RNA
Rfam family: Bacterial small subunit ribosomal RNA
Source: RNAcentral